RNAcentral lists this transfer RNA (66 nucleotides) under Exorista larvarum. RNAcentral describes it as "tRNA-Tyr". The record is from RNAcentral. Lineage: Eukaryota; Metazoa; Arthropoda; Insecta; Diptera; Tachinidae.
GAUUAAAUGGCUGAAUUAUAGGCAAUAAAUUGUAAAUUUAUGUAUGAGAAAUUAUCUCUUUAAUCA